UGUCGUCAGCUCGUGUCGUGAGAUGUUGGGUUAAGUCCCGCAACGAGCGCAACCCUUGUCCUUAGUUGCCAGCACGUUAUGGUGGGGACUCUAAGGAGACUGCCUGGGAUAACCAGGAGGAAGGUGGGGAUGACGUCAAGUCCGUAUGUCCCUUAUGUCCAGGGCUACACACGUGUUACAAUGGCCGGUACAGAGGGUCGCGAACCCGCGAGGGGAAGCCAAUCCCAUAAAACCGGUCCCAGUUCGGAUUGGAGUCUGCAACUCGACUCCAUGAAGCAGGAAUCGCUAGUAAUCGCGCAUCAGCACGGCGCGGUGAAUACGUUCCCGGGUCUUGUACACACCGCCCGUCACGCCAUGGAAGCCGGUAGUACUCGAAGCAGGUGGCCCAACCCUGACACUCGUGUCAGGGGGGGAGCCUACGAAGGUAAGAUUGGUAACUGGGGCGAAGUCGUAACAAGGUAGCCGUACCGGAAGGUGCGGCUGGAAUACCUCCUUUCUAGGG
RNAcentral lists this ribosomal RNA (502 nucleotides) under Fidelibacterota bacterium. Its description in RNAcentral is "bacterial SSU rRNA". It matches the Rfam family "Bacterial small subunit ribosomal RNA", at positions 1050 to 1533 of the family's 1533-position model. The record is from RNAcentral. Lineage: Bacteria; Pseudomonadati; Fidelibacterota.